Molecule: ribosomal RNA, 443 nt
Filed under: uncultured bacterium
Lineage: Bacteria
Description: partial 16S ribosomal RNA
Rfam family: Bacterial small subunit ribosomal RNA
Source: RNAcentral
CCUACGGGUGGCAGCAGUGGGGAAUAUUGGGCAAUGGGCGCAAGCCUGACCCAGCAACGCCGCGUGAAUGAAGAAGGCUUUCGGGUUGUAAACUUCUUUUCUGCGGGACGAAGAAAGUGACGGUACCUCCGUUCUAAGCCACGGCUAACUACGGGCCAGCAGCCGCCGUACUACGUAGGUGCCAAGCGUGAUCAGGAUGUAUUGGGUGUAAAGGGCGUGUAGGCGGGAAAGCAAGUCAGAUGUGAAAUCUCAGGGCUCAACCCUGAGACUGCAUUUGAUACUGUUUGUCUUGAGUGCUGGAGAGGCAAUUGGAAUUCCGUGUGUAGCGGUGAAAUGCGUAGAGAUACGGAGGAACACCAGUGGCGAAGGCGGAUUGCUGGACAGUAACUGACGCUGAGGCGCGAAAGCGUGGGGAGCAAACAGGAUUAGAUACCCCAGUAGUC